CAGCUCGUCCCAUGUCUCUGCAUCAUCAUCAUCCUACCGAUCAUCUCCUUCUCACACGCCAAGGCGAAGGAGAUGCCGUGCAUAGUCGGCGACUCCGAGGAGGUCCGGGGGAGGAACUACACCAUGGACGACCCUGAUCUUGUAUUCCUGGUCGACAAGGACUCCGGAUUCGCACAAAUGCACCUCUACAACCUAUCCUACGCCGCCCUGAACAACACAGUGUUGUCCACCAUGGAUCGCUUGAUACAACUCUAUCAAAGGCGUCCCGACGGGUUGGGGGUCGACGAGGCGUCCUUCAGUGUCACCAUCGUCAUGCGGAAUCAGACGUCACCGGCUGCAAGCAAUCACCUCGCCUUCCUUAUCCUCCCCGCGGAGACCCUUGAUUUUCUUCAGGUAAAUGACUCCUUGCCCUUGGCAAAGGAACUGGUGUUCGAUACCAGUUUCUACCCGCAAGCCAACCGCUCCGGUUUUGCCAACACUACAUACCGGAGCAGCUCCGUCUACGGAGUCGACAUGUACGUCGACGUGACCAUCGGAAUGCUGGCUAGCCCCGUCCCCGCGCAGACGGGGUAUGUUGGUGAACGCGUGCUGGUUGUCAAUAUCUUUACCAGCAUAGUCGGCUCCAACUAUUCUGUGUGGAUCGACUACGACCAUGUCGGGCUGCUGUCUGUGUACGCAGACGUUGAAGGCAAGCCCAAACCUAACAACGCCAUAGGCAUGGCGCCAUUCAGCAUCGGCAGCGUCGUUUCUCCGACGUCCGCAUUUGCCUAUUUUGGAUUCCUCUCGAUGGUGGAGCCGCGACGCCGUAUCAGAGGCAUCCGCUUCACCGCAACGGUCGACAACUUCCCUUGCUACCCCGUCAAAAGAGGCUUUCUGUCAAGGAAGGUCACCAUAUUGUCAUCGGUCCUUGGGUCUAUAGCCGCCACCGCCGUGGUGGCCGCCACCCUCGCGUGCUACUUCAACUCAAGGUACCGGAGGUGGCACAAGGACCUGGACCAGCUCGCCAGGUCCAUGGAGCGCCUCCCUGAGGUACCCACCAAGAUCGACUUCAUCGAUAUCAGAAAAGCCACCAACAACUUUCAUGACGGCAUGAAGCUCGGUGGAGGCGGGUUUGGCACCGUGUAUAGGUGCACACUCCCCGCCUCCGCUUCCAAGUUGGAGCGGCCGAUGGACGUGGCCAUCAAGAGGUUCACGCGUGACGUGCAGAACCGCCGAUACGACGACUUCCUCGCCGAGGUCAGCAUCAUCAACCGGUUGCGCCACAAGAACAUCGUCCCCCUCAUCGGAUGGUCUUACAACAAAGGAGUGCCACUGCUUGUGUUUGAGUUCAUGAAUAAUGGCAGCUUAGACCAACAUAUUUUCCAUAGAGGCGGCAGCGGCACCAAGCAACAAAACAUUGAUGACGCCAUUCGGCGAUGGGCAACCCGCUACGAGAUCAUCAGGGGCAUAGCCACUGGCCUGCACUAUGUCCACCAUGAGUAUAAGCCCAUGGUGCUCCACCGGGACAUCAAGGCAAGCAACAUCAUGCUGGACUCGAGGUUCCAGGCUCGCCUCGGUGACUUUGGCCUGGCUUGCACCGUUACCAUUGACAGAAAUUCUAUCACUGGCGUGGGAAGCACCUGGGGCUACAUCGCGCCAGAGUACCCGGUUUGCCGCAAGGCGACGCGGCAGACAGACAUCUACGCUCUUGGGGUGCUCAUCCUCGAGGUCGUCACAGGGCUACGGGCGUUGGCCGAUCAUGAGGUGGUGGAUGAUGACGACAUGCAUAUCACCGAUAGAGUGUGGCAUCUUCACAGAGAGGGGAGGCUAUUGGAUUGCGUGGAUGCCAUGUUGAUCAAUGGUUUUUCUCCGGACAAUGAGGAGCAUCUAGACAAUGUUGGUGAUGCGGAACGCUUGCUGCUCCUGGGCUUGGCCUGCAGCAACUCAAACCCAUCACACAGGCCAACCAUGCUCGAGGUGGUGCAGGUCAUCGCCAAGUUAGCUCCGCCACCACAGGUGUCACCUCUGAAGCCAAGAUUCGUGUGGCCGCCGCAGGAAGAGGGUCGUUCAGUGACCUCCAAUGACGAUAGCAUAGGUACAUCAAUGAUAAGUAAUCUCGACAAGAGUAUGGCAAGCCUCAUC
This 2121-nucleotide ribosomal RNA is filed under the name Triticum aestivum (bread wheat). Its description in RNAcentral is "partial small subunit ribosomal RNA". Lineage: Eukaryota; Viridiplantae; Streptophyta; Magnoliopsida; Poales; Poaceae. The record is from RNAcentral.